GUUUUAUUUUAGCUUCAUAAGCAACCUCCUCCUGAGCUAAAAUUAUCUUGAGGACUUGUACCAAGAUAGAGAUGACAACAUAAAAUGUUCCUGUGCCAUAACUGAAGUACUCCUCAUUGCUUCUCCUUGUGAAUUUAUUGCUUGUGGAGUUGCCAGAUUUUACUUGGGCACAAACGCUCUUCAAACCAAGGGAAAGGCACUUUUUCCCAUCUGGUCAGAAGGGAAAGCAUCACUCAAGCCAAUUUGUAUAACUGCAUUGGGAAUUAACGUUUCCUUUCCUCUGCCUGUCCCACUGCCACCUCGUCUCUGAUGGCCACCUGGUUCUCCCCUCCCUCUCAUGGAGGGGCUGCACACCCUCUGUCUUCUUGCUUUCCUCAUCUGCCUCCAGCUGAUACUUGUCAGAGUGGAACUGGACUUCGCAAACUAAUCCUCAUGUUGGUCUCCAGAGAAUUUGAAUUUCAAGUGGAUUCUUCUCCAUUGCCUUGUCUGCACUCCUGUGCCUUCUGUCUGCAAGGAAAAGGAGCCUCACUGGGAGGAAACUGCUGUUAGUUAACUGCAGCCUUUGUCUGAAAAAGGCCCUGUCAACGCAACAGCAUCAACAACAACAGCAAAAGCCUGGGAACAGCGUGUCUAGGUGCUGUGAGGAACCAGUUCCCAUUAAUUAAAGCGUAAGACUGUAUCAGGUCAUGACACAGGAUGAUGGGGCACCAGGUGGAUUUGUGGCC
Molecule: long non-coding RNA, 725 nt
Organism: Apus apus (common swift)
Lineage: Eukaryota; Metazoa; Chordata; Aves; Apodiformes; Apodidae
Exons: 3
Source: RefSeq, a predicted model, not a curated record